RNAcentral lists this ribosomal RNA (509 nucleotides) under Escherichia sp. RNAcentral's name for it is "bacterial SSU rRNA". It matches the Rfam family "Bacterial small subunit ribosomal RNA", at positions 248 to 750 of the family's 1533-position model. The record is from RNAcentral. Lineage: Bacteria; Pseudomonadati; Pseudomonadota; Gammaproteobacteria; Enterobacterales; Enterobacteriaceae.
GUAGGUGGGGUAACGGCUCACCUAGGCGACGAUCCCUAGCUGGUCUGAGAGGAUGACCAGCCACACUGGAACUGAGACACGGUCCAGACUCCUACGGGAGGCAGCAGUGGGGAAUAUUGCACAAUGGGCGCAAGCCUGAUGCAGCCAUGCCGCGUGUAUGAAGAAGGCCUUCGGGUUGUAAAGUACUUUCAGCGGGGAGGAAGGGAGUAAAGUUAAUACCUUUGCUCAUUGACGUUACCCGCAGAAGAAGCACCGGCUAACUCCGUGCCAGCAGCCGCGGUAAUACGGAGGGUGCAAGCGUUAAUCGGAAUUACUGGGCGUAAAGCGCACGCAGGCGGUUUGUUAAGUCAGAUGUGAAAUCCCCGGGCUCAACCUGGGAACUGCAUCUGAUACUGGCAAGCUUGAGUCUCGUAGAGGGGGGUAGAAUUCCAGGUGUAGCGGUGAAAUGCGUAGAGAUCUGGAGGAAUACCGGUGGCGAAGGCGGCCCCCUGACGAAGACUGACGCUCAG